CGUAGGAACCGUUGGCCUAAUCCCCGGAUGUCGGGCGGGCUCCUUCCUUUUUUUUUCGCCCGUCGUCCGCGCCGGAGACGCAGAAAAUCCUUCCUCCCCUUCUUCCCCACCCCUCUCCCCCGAGCAGAGCUGAGCAGAGCUGAGACGCCCAAGGCCCCCAGAGCACCACCAUCCCACCACCAUCCCAGCAGCAGCCAUGCCUAUAAUGAUUUCAGAAAUUAAAGAUUUCUUGCUCACAGCGAGGAGGAAGGAUGCAAAAUCUGUGAAAAUUAAGAAGAACAAGGAUAAUGUAAAAUUCAAAGUGCGCUGCAGCAGGUAUCUGUACACUCUGGUGAUCACAGACCCAGAGAAGGCUGAGAAACUCAAACAGUCCCUGCCUCCAGGUCUGGCCGUAAAAGAGCUGAAGUGAAAAUCUGUACAAAUGUCUUGCACGUUCCAAUAAAAAAAUGGAGAAAAUGA
Long non-coding RNA from Callorhinchus milii (elephant shark), 459 nucleotides. RefSeq annotates it as ribosomal protein L38. The transcript has 5 exons. Lineage: Eukaryota; Metazoa; Chordata; Chondrichthyes; Chimaeriformes; Callorhinchidae. The record is from RefSeq and is a predicted model, not a curated record.